UAGGGAAUUUUCGGCAAUGGGCGAAAGCCUGACCGAGCAACGCCGCGUGAAGGAAGAAGGAAUUCGUUCUGUAAACUUCUGUCAUAGAGGAAGAACGGUAUGUGUAGGGAAUGACACAUAAGUGACGGUACUCUAUAAGAAAGCCACGGCUAACUACGUGCCAGCAGCCGCGGUAAUACGUAGGUGGCGAGCGUUAUCCGGAAUUAUUGGGCGUAAAGAGGGAGCAGGCGGCGCUAAAGGUCUGUGGUGAAAGACCGAAGCUCAACUUCGGUAAGCCAUGGAAACCAAAGGGCUAGAGUGUGUGAGAGGAUCGUGGAAUUCCAUGUGUAGCGGUGAAAUGCGUAGAUAUAUGGAGGAACACCAGUGGCGAAGGCGACGAUCUGGCGCACAACUGACGCUCAGUCCCGAAAGCGUGGGGAGCAAAUAGGAUUAGAUACC
RNAcentral lists this ribosomal RNA (438 nucleotides) under uncultured bacterium. RNAcentral's name for it is "bacterial SSU rRNA". It matches the Rfam family "Bacterial small subunit ribosomal RNA", at positions 355 to 786 of the family's 1533-position model. The record is from RNAcentral.